UACGGAGGGGGCUAGCGUUGUUCGGAAUUACUGGGCGUAAAGCGCACGUAGGCGGCUUUGCAAGUUAGAGGUGAAAGCCCGGGGCUCAACUCCGGAAUUGCCUUUAAAACUGCAUCGCUAGAAUUGUGGAGAGGUAAGUGGAAUUCCGAGUGUAGAGGUGAAAUUCGUAGAUAUUCGGAAGAACACCAGUGGCGAAGGCGACUUACUGGACACAUAUUGACGCUGAGGUGCGAAAGCGUAGGGAGCAAACAGG
RNAcentral lists this ribosomal RNA (253 nucleotides) under uncultured bacterium. RNAcentral describes it as "partial 16S ribosomal RNA". It matches the Rfam family "Bacterial small subunit ribosomal RNA", at positions 524 to 776 of the family's 1533-position model. The record is from RNAcentral.